RNAcentral lists this ribosomal RNA (305 nucleotides) under uncultured bacterium. RNAcentral describes it as "bacterial SSU rRNA". It matches the Rfam family "Bacterial small subunit ribosomal RNA", at positions 335 to 638 of the family's 1533-position model. The record is from RNAcentral.
CCGGCCUACGGGGGGCAGCAGUGAGGAAUAUUGGUCAAUGGGCGAGAGCCUGAACCAGCCAAGUCGCGUGAGGGAGUACUGCCCUAUGGGUUGUAAACCUCUUUUGUCGGGGAGCAAAAGCCGGACGUGUCCGUCUGUGAGAGUACCUGAAGAAAAAGCAUCGGCUAACUCCGUGCCAGCAGCCGCGGUAAUACGGAGGAUGCGAGCGUUAUCCGGAUUUAUUGGGUUUAAAGGGUGCGUAGGCGGAGUGUCAAGUCAGCGGUAAAAUUUCGGGGCUCAACCCCGUCGUGCCGUUGAAACUGACA